This 253-nucleotide ribosomal RNA is filed under the name uncultured bacterium. RNAcentral's name for it is "partial 16S ribosomal RNA". It matches the Rfam family "Bacterial small subunit ribosomal RNA", at positions 524 to 776 of the family's 1533-position model. The record is from RNAcentral.
UACGUAGGGUGCAAGCGUUGUCCGGAAUUAUUGGGCGUAAAGAGCUCGUAGGCGGUUUGUCGCGUCUGCUGUGAAAACGCGAGGCUCAACCUCGCGCCUGCAGUGGGUACGGGCAGACUAGAGUGCGGUAGGGGAGAUUGGAAUUCCUGGUGUAGCGGUGAAAUGCGCAGAUAUCAGGAGGAACACCGGUGGCGAAGGCGGGUCUCUGGGUAGUAACUGACGCUGAGGAACGAAAGCGUGGGUAGCGAACAGG